Molecule: long non-coding RNA, 1258 nt
Organism: Lotus japonicus
Lineage: Eukaryota; Viridiplantae; Streptophyta; Magnoliopsida; Fabales; Fabaceae
Exons: 3
Source: RefSeq, a predicted model, not a curated record
AUGAGUUGAGGAAACAACACGACCAAAAAUGACUUCUUCUUCCUGUUCCUCUUCUUCUUUAGCUCGAGGAACGGAGCGAGGAGUGAUCACGGUGCUCUGGUCGAUUCGUAGAGGAUGUUCAGACUUAUCUCACUUAGUCAGGCUUUGAUUUCAACUCUGCUCCUAUAAGGCGAAGAUACCGGAUGUUGAAAUUUGCUGAGAUGUAGCUGCUACAUUGCAAGUUCAGAAGGGUCCUGGUGAGGUGUGUUUGGAGGUUGUUUUCACAUAAACUAGCUACUGGUCUUCUACAGAAGAACCUGGAUUAUGAUAAAGCCGGUUAAGAAGUUCUUAUUGCUAAUCUAUUGUUCUUGAGGGACUAGGUUACAAUAACUUAGGUCAGAUUGCUAAUUGUCAGGUGCUCUUUAUCUCUCUGUAUGUUCACCAUGCUUACUCAUCAAAAGUGAAUUAAUGUUCAUGGCAUUGGCAUCAGACUUGCAUUGCAUGGCCAAGCAUUGUAAUCCCUUAAUAACUUAGGGAGUGAUUACUAGGAGUCUGAAAGCAUAGCCACAGUCACAUUGGUGAGCUUGGGCUCACUCUUUUAGUCAAUAAGCCCGUUUGGAUACGGCUGGGAGCUUAUUAGAGCCACUUUGCUUCAAUUUGGUAUUCAUGCCAACAAGUGCGACCCUUCCCUCUUUGUCUAAAUUGGAUCCUCAGCUAUUCUCUACACUUUGGUCUAUGUUGAUGAUACUAUCAUUACAUGGAGCUCCACUCAACUUAUCAAUCACUCCAUCUCUUCAGGCCUUGUUCUACGGCCUUGCUUGGAGCAGCUGUGAAGCUGAAUAUCAUAGCCUAGCUCAGGUUACUGCAGAAAUCUUAUAGGUCCAAACUUUGCUGCACAAACUCAAUGUGGUUACCACAUCCCCCGUUUUCUUUUGCGACAAUUCCAUUGCAUUUUUCUUGCACACAACCCAGUUCCUCAUUGCAAUUUAUUCAUACCUACAUCUUAAGUUGGGGUUUCUAUACGUUUUCAGUUGCUGAGUAUGAUUCUAAUUCCUGUUCACCUUCUAAUGUACAUGGAUUGUGUUGCUGAUUUAUCCUAAUUCUGGUUUCACUGCAGUAGAAUAUGUCGAGGAGAGGAACUCGUUUUGUUACAUGUUGAUUAACUUACUAGUUUCUUUAUGUUUGUAAAAUUACUGUAUGCAGGUCCAAUGUCAUGGUUUAUUUAAUAUGAUUCAUGUGGAUAUUUUCUGCUAUGCAAUAUAUAAUUUGCUUUGUUUAA